CUNAAUGCNAGUCGAGCGGUAACAGAAAGUAGCUUGCUACUUUGCUGACGAGCGGCGGACGGGUGAGUAAUGCUUGGGAACAUGCCUUGAGGUGGGGGACAACAGUUGGAAACGACUGCUAAUACCGCAUAAUGUCUACGGACCAAAGGGGGCUUCNGCUCUCGCCUUUANAUUGGCCCAAGUGGGAUUAGCUAGUUGGUGAGGUAAUGGCUCACCAAGGCGACGAUCCCUAGCUGGUUUGAGAGGAUGAUCAGCCACACUGGGACUGAGACACGGCCCAGACUCCUACNGGAGGCAGCANUGGGGAAUAUUGCACAAUGGGCGCAAGCCUGAUGCAUCCAUGCCGCGUGUGUGAAGAANGCCUUCNGGUUGUAAAGCACUUUCAGUCANGAGGAAAGGUUAACGGUUAAUACCCGUUAGCUGUGACGUUACUGACANAAGAAGCACCGGCUAACUCCGUGCCAGCNGCCGCGGUAAUACGGANGGUGCNAGCGUUAAUCGNAAUUACUGGGNGUAAAGC
This 520-nucleotide ribosomal RNA is filed under the name Pseudoalteromonas sp. RNAcentral describes it as "partial 16S ribosomal RNA". It matches the Rfam family "Bacterial small subunit ribosomal RNA", at positions 51 to 566 of the family's 1533-position model. The record is from RNAcentral. Lineage: Bacteria; Pseudomonadati; Pseudomonadota; Gammaproteobacteria; Alteromonadales; Pseudoalteromonadaceae.